RNAcentral lists this ribosomal RNA (225 nucleotides) under uncultured bacterium. Its description in RNAcentral is "partial 16S ribosomal RNA". It matches the Rfam family "Bacterial small subunit ribosomal RNA", at positions 109 to 334 of the family's 1533-position model. The record is from RNAcentral.
AGUAACGCGUGGGUAACCUGCCUUAUACAGGGGGAUAACAGUCAGAAAUGACUGCUAAUACCGCAUAAGCGCACAGAGCUGCAUGGCUCAGUGUGAAAAACUCCGGUGGUAUAAGAUGGACCCGCGUUGGAUUAGCUAGUUGGUGAGGUAACGGCCCACCAAGGCGACGAUCCAUAGCCGGCCUGAGAGGGUGAACGGCCACAUUGGGACUGAGACACGGCCCAG